Molecule: non-coding RNA, 103 nt
Organism: Caerostris darwini
Lineage: Eukaryota; Metazoa; Arthropoda; Arachnida; Araneae; Araneidae
Source: the annotation of a GenBank genome assembly
ACGGCCAUACCAUGCUGAAUAUACCGGUUCUCGUUAGAUCACCGAAGUCAAGCAUCAUUGGGCGCGGUCAGUACUUGGUAACCUGGGAACACCGCGUGCCGUU